RNAcentral lists this ribosomal RNA (56 nucleotides) under Diaporthe ampelina. RNAcentral describes it as "partial 28S ribosomal RNA". Lineage: Eukaryota; Fungi; Ascomycota; Sordariomycetes; Diaporthales; Diaporthaceae. The record is from RNAcentral.
UUUGACCUCGGAUCAGGUAGGAAUACCCGCUGAACUUAAGCAUAUCAAUAAGCGGA